Molecule: ribosomal RNA, 254 nt
Filed under: uncultured bacterium
Lineage: Bacteria
Description: partial 16S ribosomal RNA
Rfam family: Bacterial small subunit ribosomal RNA
Source: RNAcentral
UACGUAGGGUCCAAGCGUUGUCCGGAUUUAUUGGGCGUAAAGAGCUCGUAGGCGGCUCAGUAAGUCGGAUGUGAAAACUCGGGGCUCAACCCCGAGACGCCAUCCGAUACUGCUGUGGCUUGAGUCUGGUAGGGGAACACGGAAUUCCUGGUGUAGCGGUGAAAUGCGCAGAUAUCGGGAGGAACACCAAUGGCGAAGGCAGCUCGCUGGGACGGUACUGACGCUGAGACGCGAAAGCGUGGGGAGCAAACAGG